GCUGGAAUCGCUAGUAAUCGCGAAUCAGAAUGUCGCGGUGAAUACGUUCCCGGGUCUUGUACACACCGCCCGUCACACCAUGGGAGUCAGUAACGCCCGAAGUCAGUGACCCAACCGGAACCGGAGGGAGCUGCCGAAGGUGGGACCGAUAACUGGGGUGAAGUCGUAACAAGGUAUC
Molecule: ribosomal RNA, 178 nt
Filed under: uncultured bacterium
Lineage: Bacteria
Description: partial 16S ribosomal RNA
Rfam family: Bacterial small subunit ribosomal RNA
Source: RNAcentral